CCUACGGGGGGCAGCAGUGGGGAAUAUUGGACAAUGGGGGCAACCCUGAUCCAGCCAUGCCGCGUGUGUGAAGAAGGCCCUCGGGUUGUAAAGCACUUUCAGUGAGGAAGAACGCCUGGUGGUUAAUACCCAUCAGGAAAGACAUCACUCACAGAAGAAGCACCGGCUAACUCCGUGCCAGCAGCCGCGGUAAUACGGAGGGUGCCAGCGUUAAUCGGAAUUACUGGGCGUAAAGCGCGCGUAGGUGGCUUGAUAAGCCGGUUGUGAAAGCCCCGGGCUCAACCUGGGAACGGCAUCCGGAACUGUCAAGCUAGAGUGCAGGAGAGGAAGGUAGAAUUCCCGGUGUAGCGGUGAAAUGCGUAGAGAUCGGGAGGAAUACCAGUGGCGAAGGCGGCCUUCUGGACUGACACUGACACUGAGGUGCGAAAGCGUGGGUAGCAAACAGGAUUAGAUACCCGAGUAGUC
RNAcentral lists this ribosomal RNA (465 nucleotides) under Vreelandella stevensii. Its description in RNAcentral is "partial 16S ribosomal RNA". It matches the Rfam family "Bacterial small subunit ribosomal RNA", at positions 338 to 795 of the family's 1533-position model. The record is from RNAcentral. Lineage: Bacteria; Pseudomonadati; Pseudomonadota; Gammaproteobacteria; Oceanospirillales; Halomonadaceae.